GGGGAAGGAGGGGAAGAUGGCGGAGUGAGGGGCGGAGGAGGCGGAGGGGCCGGACCGGGCCCCGCGGCCUCGGCCGCGCUCAGCUCAUUGAAGAGGAUGUGGAAUGAUCAAAAACAAUGGUCUGUUUUUCCACAUCUUCAUAAGAAUGGGACUUUCCCAACAGUCUGAGUGUCGAUCCGGUCAACCCAAUGAUCAGCUGAAAUAUCUGAGUGACUCGAGAGAUGUCGCUAGUGAUAUGUACUAUAUUUCCAUUUUCAUGGUCUGCUCACUGCUUCUAACAUAGGAGCUGGAAAUUGGCACUGGAAGACUGUUUCUGGACUUGAUCAACAGAGUGGCUAAGAUCCUCUCCUGACAUUUAGGAAGGUGGUCCUCUUACUUGCUCAAAGGCUGUAAAAUGUGGAUAUUUCUCUUCUAGCAAGCAAAACCCGUCCUUCAUUUCCAUGGAGCUGAACGAACAAAGAUCUCUCCGGUUCUGUUUGAAUCAUCUCACCAAACAUUUGAUUCACCAGAUGACUUCUCCCACAGAAGUAGCCCACUGUUUUAUCAAAACUCAAAAGCAGAGUAACAGAAAUCAGCAUUUAUUUUCCUGAAAAAAUGUCUUCUGUGCCAGCUCUUCAUUCAGUUUUCUGCAUUCUAUUUUAAAAUGAAAAAUACUUGGUAGGCAGUUGCAAGUGGAAGCUGGUGUUUUUCACUGAUAUUUCCUUCUUAAUAUUAGGAGGAUUAAGUACUUUGCCGUGUCAAAUUGGAAUUCCUAGCAGAUAAAGUGUCUGCAUGCAUUGCUGUGUCAGACUGACCUGAUACGUAUGAAAAGUUGCAGCAGGAAAACCAGAACAUUUUCUGUUCUGAAAUGAAGAAGAAACUUACCAAACAACUAGGGGCAUCUCAUACAGGUAUUUUUUAGUCCAGGUCCCAGGCUUGACUUUGUAGAUAGGUGUCAACUCACUUAAGCAGCUAAUGCACAAGAACAAAUAGAGAAUCACCUUGUCUAUACCGUGUAUCCCAGUCUGUGAUCAAAAUGUAUAUUUGCAUGUGUGAACCUAUGUAAGUGCAGGAUAUGAAGAGCUUUCACCUGAAGAAGAAAUUACUCUGCAUAAUUUCAUUUUUAGCAAAGAAAAAGGAAGCUUUGAAGGCCACUGGGGUAACAGAAUAAUGACUAGGUUUGCAUUAAAUCGUUCUCUUCCUCAGGCUUUUAAUGAAUCCUUAGCAUCAAAAGGAACAAGAUCAUUCUACAAUAAAAGAGAUGGGCGGAACAUCUUUCUUUAAUAUAGAAAUUAACUUCUCAUGGGAUGGAAGAGACCAGAGUUGUAAAGUUGCAGUUCAUCCACCUGGCUUCCUCGACACAAUUUCAGCUUUUCCUGCUGCUGAUGGAAUCUUGCUUUUUGAUUCUUUCAUGACUGAGAACUGAGAGGACCUGCAUGUUUCCAUCUAGGUAGAAAUAGGCCCGAGGGAAUGGAAUGUUAGCCACGUGAGAGGGGUGAGUUGAGAGCAGAAAUAAGUAGUACAGUCCUUUUUCUGGCUCUUCUUAUUCCCUCCCAAACUAAGGCACAGUCUGGUUGUUCUUAUGUUUACACGACAUUCUUUGUCUCCAUAAUUCACGAUUAUAUAGGAUGUUUUCUGUCAUUCUGAGAUGAGAGCAUAUAUUGUUUAUGUGCUCCCUGCUGUGGAUUAUCUAUAACAAGUAAGAUUUUUGACAAAAAACUACCAGAACUGGGAUAUGUAUUAUAUUCCACCUCAAAUCUGAAACUCUUCUUAGUGCACCUUAUUCCAAGCUUGUGAUUUAGGAAAUGUGACUUGCUAGCUUAAAAUACGGGAGAUACUAAGUGGUUGGGGAGGUGUUCUAGAUUUCUUGGUUUUUUCUGUUUUUCCUUUUAGAAAACUGCUGGAGAGAGCCAGACAGCCUGAAAAUGGCUGAAAAUUGCAAACAAUUGAAAUCCUUCUCAAAUCUUUGUGAUAGAUUGCCAGGGCAGCAUUCUAGUAUCAAAAAUGUGGUGACAUUUUAUGGGACCAAGUUCCAUAGCACGUUGAGGACAAGAGUUGAUGUUGAUCCUAAUCCUCCAAGUAAUGUCUGUGUUUAGACUUGUUUUGUAACAAAAGGAUUUAAUGACACCUUUACCCAUUUUCUGUUUCCAUGAAGCAAAGAGCAGACACAUAAACUUAAGAGUGGUGGGCUGGAUGCUGCAUAUCAAAGUAACACCAACUUUAAUGAGCGGAGAGGUGCUCUAAAAUGUGUGUGUAACAUUGCGGUGAGCUGUGUGCUAAGAGCUAACAUUGAGCUUGAUGAGGCAACUGCCAGCUUGGCCUGACUUAAGAUUUCUUUGCUGAAUAUGGUCUGAACUUUCUGGCAUUGGAGGCAACUAGAAAAGCACAGUUCCUUUUAGAGCCUCCUUACGUUGAAGUCAAUAGGAUUUAGUUGAGAUGUCUGUAGAAGCAGGAUCCAUCUCUAAGCGAUGGAAAAUACUGUCAAUAUCAUAGGAUUACAGUGAUUGGGAAGUAUGUGGUAUAAGAAAUGUCUGAUUUUAGAUCUGGGAAUUUUCUUUUCUUCCUUCUGCCCAUACUUACCCCUCUGAUGUUAGAGAUAGCAGUCGUUUCUUGCAUAGCUUGAUGACAAAAUACUUGGGGGACAGGAAGGUAUUUUUGUUUUUUGUGGACAUGUACAAAAAUUGCCAAUUUGUCUGACUAAAGAGCUGAUAAUCUAAGCUCCUUAACCUCAAUAUUUUGUAACCCAGCAUUGUAAAAAAAGGUAGAAUUACUGAUUUUUUUUUUUUCUUGACUCAUGUUCAUGACAGUGUAGCAGCAUUAGUUUUCAAGUUUAAUUUUAGAAUGUCGGGAUUUUAUUAGGUUAAGGAUCUGUGACUUUCACAGAAAUAACCCUCCAGUAGUGCAUGCCCAGAAGAUCCCCAUUGUUGUACCUUCCUGGCCAGCACCUUUAAAGAGCUGCUGUGUUUGGAAAUGCUGCUUCAUCUGACUCACUUUUUCUUGCUCUGCUUUUUCUUUGUGUUGGUUGGAAAUCUUCCCAUGUGAAAGAUUACAAAAACAAGGGGCAUGUGCAAUAGCUCAUAUAUAUAUAUAUAUACAUAUAUAUAUUUUAAUACUUGUGGACAAAAUGAUGUUACAAGUUGUUUGAAAACAACAAAAUCACCAAUGUCUUCCAUUUUGAGAUGUGUAUAGUUCCAUAAGCAUUAGUGCUUUGUAGCAAACUGUAGUGCCAUGUUAGGAUCAGUGCAUGAGCCUAGUAGAUUUUUACAAUUUCCGAGUGACAAAUUUAUUAGUAAACAGUAAUGAUAAUGUAAUUAACACUAGAAAGGAUACAAUAGAAAUGUCACAAACAUGGUCUAAACAUGCAGUAUCCUCCCUUUGACAAUGGCAAUGCUAUCCUUAGAAAUGGAACUCAUUCACUUAAUGGGCUUCAUGGAAUCGUAGUUGACUUUUUGAUAUUUGUCUGUCUGUCCAACUGCAGUAGUAAGCUAAGAGUAUGCAAGCAUCCAUAAUUCUCAUCUCUAUCAGUGUGAUUCUUUGCUUUCUAAUCUUCAUUGGUGUUUUCCUCCAUUUUCAAUUUUUUUGAACCAUUUAUUACCCAUCCUAUGAUAUAUUCAGAAAAGUAUGAAUGUGCUAAGGAGUUUGUGUGCAUUCUGUACACAUCUCUUACCUUCAGAUCAUUUACAAAGUCUAUUAAGUAAUCUUUUAUUUGUUUCAGAUCUGACUAUAUGAUUAUUAUAGCUAGCAAAACAUUAUCUUCAUUGUGUAAUAAGUUAAUAGUUGCAAAAUGUGAUGUGCUAAUUAUGCGUGGAAGACUUUUAUCCAUUAUUGCAGGAAUGGGGAACCUUUUUUGGCUGAAGUCCUGUUGAAUCUUAAAAUAACUUUAGUGGAUCCUGCAUUUACAUACAUCUUAUUAAGAGAGAAUACAAUAAGGUCAAAGGCUGUUGGAAAACUAUGUUGCAGGCUGUCUCUGUGCAGCAGGCUGUCUCUAGCCAAUGGAUCAGAGAUUCCCCACCCCUGUAUUAUUGAGAGUUCAAUAUCUUGUAUUUUAGGUAACUUCCAGUUUUGCUUUCCAGCUCUAAGCUCAGUUUUAAUGAUUUCUGUCUCCCUCUGUUUUUUUCAGAAGAGAAGUUUAGACAGGGGAAGUGAAAUUGAUUUAGCACUCAGUGGGCAGCUUGGACUGGUCAAAUAGGAGACUGGUAUGAUUCUCGAGAUGUGCAUUGCUCUGUGGAUGGCAUCCUCUGAUUUCCUAGGAAUUAGUCUUUUAUUUGAUGCCAGUGCUGCUCUUCACGCAUUUCUCUCUUUCAGCUUAGAGAGGAUACUGCAUCUUUUUUUCCUGAGAUCUGCCUGUAAAUGGCCAGUAGGGGGAGGGAGGGAAUGGGUAGCUUGGUUUUGUAAUUUUGGUACGAUAUAUCUUUAAAGUAAUUAAUCAAGAAGCAUGUACUUCUGUGCAAUGACAGUAAUCCAGGCAGAGUUAAUGUAUGUAGCAGGGAAAAAAAACACAAAGAACAACCCAUCAAAACCAACCAAACAACCCUCUGCAUCUAAUAAAUUUCUGAGAAAAUUGGGACACGUGGGCCAUUUACAGCAGAGCUCUGGGGGACCUGUGCUAAGAGUCAGGUUCAAUUCUAAAUGGACGUAGCUGUACCAUUGAAUAAAGUAGUUUAGUGCUUGGGAGAAUCAGUUGAAAAAUACCUCUGAAACUGGAAUGCAAAAUAGCACAGUAUGUAGGGGGAAGAAUCCCUGAUGCAAACAAAGCCAUAAGAUGAUUUAAUAAGAAAAUAGAACUUUAGUAGCAAUAACCGUUUUGCAUGUGAUAGUAAAUAACUUGCAUUAGCAAGACUGUACAGUAGAGUAAGUGGGUAAUAACCAAAUAAGUUUGUGGCGCUCUGUGCUGCGGGGAGUUGUGUGAAGAGUCUUCCUGAGAAGAAGGGUGAAUUCUUCUUAUGUUCCUCAUUGGAGGGAAUUUGGCACUUGAAUACUAAGUUAAUGAACUUGAUAUAUAUAUUAAAAAAAGAAAAAUAAGCUUUGCCACAUGUCUGAAGCACUGUCAGUGAGUGCUGGGGGAAGGGCAGACAGUUCUCUUUGAAACGAUAGCUGAAGUUUCCCGUAAUUUUUUUCUUCUUUUGUAGUCUAGCACUUGCUCUGUUUCUCUGAGAAACGAAACUUUUCCAAAUACUGUACUGUGAUGAGAGCCUGAUUCUAAAGUUAGAAGCUUUUGUGGUGGGGAAGUACUUUCUAUUUUCUUUGUUUAUAAAGACCAAUCUGAGAUAGUCUUUAAGUUAAAAAAAAAAAAAAAAAAUUAAAACAUUAGAAAGCACUUGACACGCAAAACAUUUGUAUAUGCCAAGCACGACUGUAGAAUUCUAAAGAUGUUAUAGCAGAAAAUAAUUUCAGCUUUGCUAAAUACUGUUUCAGACCAAAAUUGAUUUCUGUUGAUGACUGAAGUUUUGCGGAGGAAAGUGCUGUGAAGCCUCUGGUAACACAAAGGGUUAUUGAUCCACACCUGUAGAUCUGCAGCAAACAAAUUAUUUGCUAUCAAAGGGUUGCAUAAAAGAGCCACAGGAGUUCUAAACUGUUUGUAGUUGACACUUUUCAGUGUAGAUACCUUGUCUAUAGACACAGUAUGGCCCAAGAGAUAGUAAUGUAUUCUGAACAGAAUUACUUGAUCAGAGGUUAAGAUCAAUCUGGCUGCAUUUCUUCUGGAAAGCUGACUCUGACUUCCAGCUUAAUGGAAGCUUCUUGUGUUUUUAAAGCAUGGGGGUGAAGCACUUUGGCUCUUCAUAAAUUGAUAAUGGAACUGUGAGGGCUGUGAGCAUUUUUACAGUAUAAAGUAACGGGAUAAGCAUUAGAAUGUCUAAAUUAAGUGUUGGUUAAUAUGUAAUAUGCUUAUGAAAAGCUAAUUGGUCUGAAAGAGUGUAAUCAGCUUAAAUUCCAAGUAUUGAAUUUUUGAUAGGAUUGGAAGCUGGCCAUAGGGGACUUUCAUUUGAUUGCUCUCUGAGUGCAUUAGAGAAAUUAUGAAUCUACCGUGGUCUGUGGUCAGCAAGUACAUUUACAUAAUAAUGAAAUUAUGAUGAAAACAAAGUCACGUUCAUGCUUCAGAAGUACAAACUUGGUGGCUGAACAGAAUUCUUCAGGGGUAUAUCCACUCAGAAAAGGGGGGAGGAAAUAAAGACUGAUGUAGCCAGGCAAACUAUCUACAUAUACUUCCCAGUUCAGGCUUUUAAUAAUGAUCUGAAUUCUGUGGGCUGCUAGACUAGGAAUUACUAUUCACAGCAACAAAAGGAAUCCCUUUGCCUUUCAGCUCUUGUACUGUGGCAUGACUUUUGCUUCAAACCUCUUUGAUUUAACAGCUUCUAAGCCUAAGCGGAAGUGUUAGGUGCUACCAUACUUGGGUGUGGUAUAUAAAAGGUAAAAUGACCAGUAUGGACAUGCCUCCUUGAGCAGUACUAAACCCAGAUGUUACAAAUAUGUUCUGUUUGUAUAUCCUGUAGUGCUGCUGCAGAAAGUCUAGCCAGUACUUAUGUUGGGAAUUGUACCUUCUGAAACUGAGGGUAAUUGUCAAAUUUAGGAGAAAAAAGAAAGUCUUGCAAAGACUUCUUGAUAGUAAGUGAGGAGAAAUUGUACUGAGCUUGAGGAUACUGACACUUUACACGAGGAUUACACUGUCAAGAGCUGGCAGUCUGGUUUUUGGGGGGCAGAAAAGGAAAACAGUAUUGAGGAUAAAAUAACUUUUGAUGUAUAAUGAAUCUUAGAAAUUACUGCUUCUUGCAUCCUUAGGAAACUGACUGGUCUUCCUCCAAAACGAAUAAUCCUGCUCGCUGGUCAGGUACAGAGCUGCAGAAUGACAGUUCAAGUUAGAUUCCACUGGAUUUCUUUCACAGAACGACCCAGCAUUUUGCCCCUGUAGCACUUUGACUGGCACACAAAAGCCAACAAUCAAACCAGGAUGUCUUGUUCAACAGUGCAGAACACUAACCAUGGAUUCUGAUGUCUGUUCCCUUUCAGUCUCUACACUUCCUCCUGUGUUUUAGAGAAAGUGUCAGUGUUCAUGAUGUCAGCAGAGUGUGUUUCUGUCUCUGAGCCUUUGUACUGGGUUAUAAUACAGACAGAUUCCCAAGACUUUACUCCAGCUAAAGUUAAAAGAUAGAAGGUAACUUUCUGUUCAGUGUGUCCUAUGUAAAUCCUGUCUGCUUCUCUCCACUUCCCCUCCAAAUGAGUGUGUUUGCAGGUCAAAUAAAAGGCAGGUAGUUUGUAAUGCCUUAGGCAUGAAGAACUGCAUGGAGAAACUGAAGGAAAGCAGCACAGGCCCACAAACCAGAUCUUAGAGCUAGUAUUCUAAUUAUGCAUGAUUCAAAAUGUCUAGUGUAAUGUAGUUAUUACCAGUAAAUUGAGAUAUGCAUUUAUACAUAAUGAAGCAAUAGGAAUUAAUAUACCAAUAGCUUGAACUUCCUGCUUUGAUUCUCAAAUUUCGGGGUGUUUUUUUUUUUUUUUUUUUGUUUUAGAGAAUGUGCUGCCUCUGUAGAGAAGAGGCAGAAUGUAUAGAUAGGGACAGAAGCAUGGCACCAAAACUGUAAAUCAGGAACCAGGAUCAGCAGAACUCGCCUUUAUAACCUCUUGUCUGGUUCAUAUCACUGUCCUGAGCAUGUAAAAAGCAGGGCAUGAACUAAGCAUGUUUAGAGGCGAGAUGAGGUUUCUCACCUGCUGCAGCUGUAGCAAGGAAAAGGGUGCAGAGUUUCUUACACGGUGCAUGGGGAGCGACUGGUGGGAAAGAAAAAAAACCAAACCCCCCAAAAAAUCACCCCCAAACCCAAGCCAACAAACAAGUAACGCAAACCACAGACUCAAAUUGAGUGUAGUAUUUGCCAGACAGUAGGUAAUAAGCUUGAAUGUGAGAGAAAUUAUUUGGAGAAGACUGAAAUUAAUAAGCACAGUACAUAUUUUUCAGGUGUUGAAUAGCUUUUUAAUAGACAGUAUUUUCAGGUCACUAGCCACAUAGGCAGCUGUACUGAAGCAUACUGGUACCAGCCAGCAAUAAAGGCAUCCGCAGGAAUGAACCUGAAAAUACUGAUAAUCUUGUAUAUUUUUUAAGUUCUUUAAAGAGAUUUUUAAAAACAGAAAAUGAGAUUUGUUUACUGAAGGUCUAUCUUCUGCAACAGAGGUUGCAAUUGUCUUUUUUCUUUAUUUCCAUUACUGAUUAAAAGGGAAUUUGGGUGCCAUCUUUCUGUAAACUCUAGUGUGUUCUCUGUAAUUCAAGUCUCUUAGUGGAUAAUGCAGUCAAUUUCUGCUGGCAGUUUGAAAAUAAGAGAAUGUGGGGCAUAGCCUACAUCACUAAUACUUUUCCAAGUUUAAACUUGUAAUUAAACAUGUUAAAUACUGGCUUGUUACUGCAGAAUUCCAUACUUGUAGCUUAGCUUAAUUUUGUAAGUGGGCUUAACUUGUGCAGAAGACUUCUCCAUGUACAGAGGCCCAGUCCUCUCUCUUAAGUAGAAAGAAGUGUCUUGGAGGAAGAAAAGGUGUGUCAAGUUAAUUCUUGUUCGUAUUUCAUAGCCAACCAUUCAUAAAGCACUGUGUUUUGGGUUUAGAAUGGGAAUUGUGGUUUUACCCAUGAAUGCUCUUUUUAGGUAUGUAAGGAUUGCCAAAUGAAGAUAGGGAUAUUCUAAGAGAAGAUAACUAUUCCAUGGUAUCACAAGUUAGACUGAAUCAAAGUCUUUGAGCCAACUUCUUCAAGAAACAAGAAAAUUUCCAAGACAAAUUUAGCCCAGUGAUUAACCAUGGUCAUUUUUACUUCUUUAGAACACUAUGCAUGGUUUUAAAGUCUGUUAAUUUUUUUUUUUUUUUUGUAAUGAGUAAGCCAUUGUAUCCUUUGUUAUUUCCCUUCAGUAUAACCUGGGGGAUAAGCUACUUCAGGAUGUCAGUGAUGUUAUUUUCCUUUUGAAAAAUAUAACAGCAAAGGAGAAGUAUUAGGUAUAAAAUUCCUAAAAAUUACCUUAACACUUAAUAGGCUAAAGAAUACUUAUACUGAACUUCUGAUAGCAUUCUUGCAUGGAUUAGUAGAGGAAAUUAUUGGUGUGACUAUGAACUAUGUACUCCCAUUGCACACGUUUUACAUGGUAACAGUGAAAGAAUGUCUCCCUGCAAAUUCUGAUUUUUUUCAAAAGGCAGCUUGCUUUUAUAUCUAUGCAUCUUUGAGGAUUUCAAGAUAAGAUUUUAUUCUUUUGACACUGUAAAGAGGAACUGUUUAAAAAUGAACCUGGAAACUCUGCACCUGUAUACAAAAUUUUUUAGCAAUAAAGCAGCACAGGCUGAGAAUGCA
Long non-coding RNA from Hirundo rustica (Barn swallow), 9292 nucleotides. RefSeq lists it as uncharacterized. The record is from RefSeq and is a predicted model, not a curated record. NCBI's taxonomy places the organism in Eukaryota, Metazoa, Chordata, Aves, Passeriformes, Hirundinidae. The transcript has 4 exons.